RNAcentral lists this ribosomal RNA (491 nucleotides) under uncultured bacterium. Its description in RNAcentral is "partial 16S ribosomal RNA". It matches the Rfam family "Bacterial small subunit ribosomal RNA", at positions 28 to 506 of the family's 1533-position model. The record is from RNAcentral.
GAUGAACGCUAGCUACAGGCUUAACACAUGCAAGUCGAGGGGAAACGACAUCGAAAGCUUGCUUUUGAUGGGCGUCGACCGGCGCACGGGUGAGUAACGCGUAUCCAACCUGCCCACCACUUGGGGAUAACCUUGCGAAAGUAAGACUAAUACCCAAUGAUAUCUCUAGAAGACAUCUGAAAGAGAUUAAAGAUUUAUCGGUGAUGGAUGGGGAUGCGUCUGAUUAGCUUGUUGGCGGGGUAACGGCCCACCAAGGCAACGAUCAGUAGGGGUUCUGAGAGGAAGGCCCCCCACAUUGGAACUGAGACCCGGCCCAAACCCCUACGGGAGGCAGCAGGGGGGAAAAUGGGUAAAGGGACGGGAGUCUGAACAAGCAAAGGAGCGGGAAGGAAGCCGGCCCUGUGGGUUGUAAACUGCUUUUAUAAGGGAAAAAAGUGGGUCCCGUGGGACUUUUGGCAUGGACCUUAGAAAUAAGGACCGGCUAAUUCCGG